ACCCAUGGAGCCUAAGAAUCCAUUUUUAAUUUUAAAUCCAUGAUUUUUACAUGUUAAUAUAGGUUAUCUUCAAGAAGUUAUUAUGAACUUUGAUUUCAAAUGAUGUUUACCAUGCGUUUUCAUUGGAAUUUGCCCGUGACACAUUUGAAUGGUGAUUUUUGCAUGUUACAUCCUUAAACCAUGAUUUAGUUUUACAGUUACAUUAGUAGCACAUGUUUUAACUAUUCCCAU
Molecule: long non-coding RNA, 231 nt
Filed under: Capsicum annuum
Lineage: Eukaryota; Viridiplantae; Streptophyta; Magnoliopsida; Solanales; Solanaceae
Description: long non-coding RNA (CANN_LNC018905)
Source: RNAcentral